GCCAGUACUGGUGAAGUCCCUUCUGUGAACCACACAACAGAAGCUGCUGUCUCUGUCACUGCUUCCCACUGGCAAGCAGCCUAAGCAGGAGCUGCCUAAAGGUUGUGCCUGCUAAGUGUUGAAGAAGUGCACAGCUCCAUCCUCUUUGCCCCUCUUGCUGAGGCCAGGGAAACUGUGGUGACUGAGGAUGGAACACCUGGCAGACCUCCUUUUGGCAGCUGGAUGGGAGGGAAAUGCCACCAGAAAGGAAGGAUUCCUGAGGCAAGGUUCAAGUUGCAUUUGAAGGGAACACAAGAGCUGUGCAAGACACACAUCACCACCACCACAGAGCUGUGUUUGGGGAAAUGAGGAGCUGAGCAGAUCCUUUUUUAUUUCCACU
Molecule: long non-coding RNA, 379 nt
Organism: Pogoniulus pusillus (Red-fronted tinkerbird)
Lineage: Eukaryota; Metazoa; Chordata; Aves; Piciformes; Lybiidae
Exons: 4
Source: RefSeq, a predicted model, not a curated record